UUUUUUUUUUUUUUUUUUUUUUUUUUUUUUUUUUUUUUUUUUUAGACGGGCACUGUUGAA
RNAcentral lists this non-coding RNA (60 nucleotides) under Alexandrium minutum. Lineage: Eukaryota; Dinophyceae; Gonyaulacales; Pyrocystaceae. The record is from RNAcentral.